This 279-nucleotide ribosomal RNA is filed under the name uncultured bacterium. RNAcentral's name for it is "partial 16S ribosomal RNA". It matches the Rfam family "Bacterial small subunit ribosomal RNA", at positions 506 to 784 of the family's 1533-position model. The record is from RNAcentral.
UGCCAGCCGCCGCGGUAAUACAGAGGGUGCAAGCGUUAAUCGGAAUUACUGGGCGUAAAGCGCACGUAGGCGGUUUUUUAAGUCAGAUGUGAAAGCCCCGGGCUCAACCUGGGAAUUGCAUUUGAAACUGGAAAACUAGAGUGUGUGAGAGGGGGGUAGAAUUCCAAGUGUAGCGGUGAAAUGCGUAGAGAUUUGGAGGAAUACCAGUGGCGAAGGCGGCCCCCUGGCACAACACUGACGCUCAGGUGCGAAAGCGUGGGGAGCAAACAGGAUUAGAUA